AGUGGGGAAUUUUGGACAAUGGGCGCAAGCCUGAUCCAGCCAUGCCGCGUGCAGGAUGAAGGCCCUCGGGUUGUAAACUGCUUUUGUACGGAACGAAAAGCCUCUUUCUAAUAAAGAGGGGUGAUGACGGUACCGUAAGAAUAAGCACCGGCUAACUACGUGCCAGCAGCCGCGGUAAUACGUAGGGUGCGAGCGUUAAUCGGAAUUACUGGGCGUAAAGCGUGCGCAGGCGGUCUUGCAAGACAGUGGUGAAAUCCCCGGGCUCAACCUGGGAACUGCCAUUGUGACUGCAAGGCUGGAGUACGGCAGAGGGGGAUGGAAUUCCGCGUGUAGCAGUGAAAUGCGUAGAUAUGCGGAGGAACACCGAUGGCGAAGGCAGUCCCCUGGGCCUGUACUGACGCUCAUGCACGAAAGCGUGGGGAGCAAA
This 427-nucleotide ribosomal RNA is filed under the name uncultured Comamonas sp. RNAcentral describes it as "bacterial SSU rRNA". It matches the Rfam family "Bacterial small subunit ribosomal RNA", at positions 353 to 772 of the family's 1533-position model. Lineage: Bacteria; Pseudomonadati; Pseudomonadota; Betaproteobacteria; Burkholderiales; Comamonadaceae. The record is from RNAcentral.